Molecule: long non-coding RNA, 351 nt
Filed under: Vicia faba (fava bean)
Lineage: Eukaryota; Viridiplantae; Streptophyta; Magnoliopsida; Fabales; Fabaceae
Source: RNAcentral
AUGCCAGCCGCCGGCUCUGUUAUGAAAGAAAGCGGCAGACUCAUCUUACAGGUGUUCCCUAAUGAGGUAUUUUAGGGGAUUAGGGUUCUCCUUUAUCUCCUCCACCCAUCCGCGGAGGGUUUCAAUAUAAAUCUCCGCAGAUAUUUUCAGAUCGCGAGACAUAAUGUUCUCUGCGACACUGGAAUAGAUUUAUUCCAUUUCCGGAAAGUGAACGGAAAGCCGCCCUUUCCCCUUCUCACAAUAUUCCCGAACUUGCUCAAGAAUCAAUGAAUAGCACUUCGAAGUCCCUCAGGGGGAUCGGCGUGGGGAACUUCCACCGGUUCUGGACUGGAGCCUGCGGGUUCUGAAUGA